GGAUUGUACUUGCGUAACAUGGACACAUGAAACACGUUAUGAAUCCUGAAUAGUUCUAAAGGUAGUGUCAGUCUGUAGAGGGUGAUAUCAAUUCUAUCUAAGAUUUUAGAUGUCCCAAUAAGCUAGGGUAUUGGCGAUGGCACUGCCGUGCUUUGGCGACGGCACCGCUGCCCGCAGAGGUGGUUUGCCUUGGAUUUGCUGUUUUAGCAAGUUUUGGCCGAUUUCGACUGAUUUUAUACUCAUUCUUGUGAAAAAAACACGUUUACGGGCCUUGGUUGGCCAAAAAAAGUUGAAAAACAGAAACUUACCGACGACGGAGUUUUCUUGUGCGGCAGCUCUGC
Molecule: long non-coding RNA, 341 nt
Filed under: Carica papaya (papaya)
Lineage: Eukaryota; Viridiplantae; Streptophyta; Magnoliopsida; Brassicales; Caricaceae
Description: long non-coding RNA (CPAP_LNC000407)
Source: RNAcentral